CCCCUAGAUGUUCUGGGCCGCACGCGCGCUACACUGAACAGUUCAACAAGUCUUAACCUUGGCCGAUAGGUCUGGGUAAUCUUUGAACGCUGUUCGUGAUUGGGAUAGACCUUUGCAAUUAUGGGUCUUCAACGAGGAAUUCCUAGUAAACGCAAGUCAUCAGCUUGCAUUGAUUACGUCCCUGCCCUUUGUACACACCGCCCGUCGCACUUACCGAUUGAAUGGUCCGGUGAAAUCUCGGGACGGCGGCUUGGUCGCUUGCGUCCGACUGCUGAAACUUGAUUAAACCAUAUCAUUUAGAGGAAGGUGAANUCGUAACA
RNAcentral lists this ribosomal RNA (320 nucleotides) under uncultured eukaryote. RNAcentral's name for it is "partial 18S ribosomal RNA". It matches the Rfam family "Eukaryotic small subunit ribosomal RNA", at positions 1470 to 1796 of the family's 1831-position model. The record is from RNAcentral.